This 371-nucleotide long non-coding RNA is filed under the name Pogona vitticeps (central bearded dragon). RNAcentral describes it as "lncRNA (ENSPVIG00000016105.1)". The record is from RNAcentral. Lineage: Eukaryota; Metazoa; Chordata; Lepidosauria; Squamata; Agamidae.
AUCUGGGGUGGCAGACCUACCACAUGAAUUCUGGUUAGGAAAUUCACCCUACCUGUCCGUAAGCAGCAAUUAAUGGACUCCUAAGAGGCCCAUGAGAAUCCUUGAGGUAGGAGUAAGGAUUCUGCAAACAUAGUGUGAUGGCUUUGGAAAGCUGGAGGAAGGAGGCACGAUUAGACUGAAUGCAAAGGUCCCCUGCUUUCAAAGAAUUGGUCAGGAUGGGGUGGUUCUCCUCUGUGUCUGCACUGUGGACACAAGGCUGCACAUUUCAGGACCAGGAAGGAAACCACAUCAGGGCUCCUCUUUCUCACUCCAUUGUUGUUUCCUCACAAUGCCUGGCAAAUAAUACUCUGUACUGCUCCCAGAAUUCCUGA